CCUUUAACUAGCAGUGCUGCCGAGUGUCCGGCAGAGGGCGCUGUGCUGCUUGUGCUAUACACGUGGGAAUGGCUGCUCGGUCCCGGUGUUCGCUCAGCUUCCUCCAUACAGGAUGGGGGUUCAGGGACCGAUCCGAUAUACCGAGCUCCAGCCGGGGGCCGGACACACUGCUCCCUCCCUGAAUGAUCGGAAACCGACUGCAAGAUGUACCUGCUCCAUAGGAAGCCAUGAAUAAGGUAAGCUACCCUGAAUAACCUCUCCUGUCCCUUUGGAUCCCUGUUACUCUCCUGUCCCUUUGGCUGGCUGGAUCCCUGUUACUCUCCUGUCCCUUUGGCUGGCUGGAUCCCUGUUACUCUCCUGUCCCUUUGGCUGGCUGGAUCCCUGUUACUCUCCUGUCCCUUUAACUGGCUGGCUGGAUCCCUGUUACUCUCCUGUCCCUUUGGCUGGCUGGAUCCCUGUUACUAUCUGUAAAAACACGGGUUAAAUGGGGCCCAGAACUGCUUUAUAUAACUAGCUUGCACAUAGCUCCUGCUACAUUUCCAAACUUCUCUUGUAUUUCUGUCCUCACUAAACUUGGGUUAGUGCUGCUGGGAAUGAUGACAGAAAAGGCCGAAUUGCAGUUCUCUCUUUAGAGCAGGACAAUGACAAAUCCCCUUGAAGCGAAAACUGAACUGACCUCUGCAGCUUUUCUCUAGUUUAAAUUAAAGCUUCUCAUUUGAUCCAUGGACUAGGUAUCUUUACUGCUGGAUUCUAUUACUCCUGUGUAAGAUGUAACAAUACAUUUAUUUCUCCAUACAGGUAUACUGUGGCUGGUGACUUGCUGGUCCCAAUGCCAAAGCCUGCUUUAUGGAGUCCAUGCAAGAUGAUUAAUGUGUAGAGCUGACCAUCAGUGUAAGUACAACUUCUAGUCUGAUCUGAAUUGGAUGAAUGUAAUGUUCACUGGGGUUAAAGCCCCUGGUGCAGCCAUGUUCCAUAGGCUUCCUGAUGUCUGGGCAUGAGACAUGGUACUGAGGGAUGAUGACAUAAAAGGCCGAAUUACAGAGCCUCUCCAAGCAGUUCUCUCUGUGGAAGAGGCUCGAUGACAAAACUCCUUGAAGCGAACUCAAAACUGACCUCAACCAAACAUGUCUUAAACUCUUACAGAGUAACCAAUAACUGUGUGAAUGCCACUAAUAUAGAACCCUUAAUGCAGGCUUACCAUUGGCUCUCCGUUACUAUAAUGGGUAACAUGAUGCAGAGCAAGUGCCUGGUGCGACAUCACUGCUUUAGGUGUCCUGAGGCCAACUCGCAGGACUUCCUUCAACAUAGCUGAGACUAGCUGCAGUUGUCUGUGGGUUUUUUAAACCUCUGGGAGAACAUGGAAACUGAGUGAGUGGUUAAUAUAACCACUUACUCCGCACAGACCUGAAGCACAUUUUAUUGCUUUAAACUGGGAUGUAAGAAUGCUAGACUGGGCCGUACCACACAAUGAGUGACUCUGAAAGAUUGGCACAAUUUACCAUGAAUAGCCUACAACUUGUAUCUGUGGGACUGUUGGAGGAAUUGGCAGAGCCACCAACGUUUGCUCUUUGCUUAAUGCCAUUAAAGAUAUCUAAUCCAAAGACCUCAUUCUUGCAGAGGUUCCCACAGUUCAAAGACCAGGACAAGGCUUUCUCUGCUCUUAUUGGCAUUAAUUGCUCAUAUUCCCCUCCCUGAAUCUCAUGAAGUGUCAGACUUAAAGAUCUGACUUCUGUCUCUUAAUCAGCCUGUUACCAAGCUAUUGGCUUGGUUUGAAUGUAAACUGAGUGUUAUUCAGGUCCCUGGCUAAAAAUAGUUUUAUUUGGCUUAAAACCAAAUCUAAUGUCUGAACUAUGACUGCCAGAUUAACUGUAAAUAUUUUUUGCUCACUACUUUCUUUUUUUAAAAACUGUUUAUUUUGUUUACAGUCAUCUCAAAGGUCGUUCAUCUGAGCAAUAUGAUCCAUUGUGACAUCCCUGAUGGUAAAAUGACAAGAUUCCUGGAAAUUCAAGCCCCUCUAGAGUCUAUUAAGACCAUGCACUUCAAUUAAAACAGAUUUCUUUUUAUUUAAAUAAAUGUUUCGAAUUUUAUACUUUUG
Non-coding RNA from Pelobates cultripes (western spadefoot toad), 2095 nucleotides. The record is from the annotation of a GenBank genome assembly. Lineage: Eukaryota; Metazoa; Chordata; Amphibia; Anura; Pelobatidae.